This 459-nucleotide ribosomal RNA is filed under the name uncultured bacterium. RNAcentral's name for it is "bacterial SSU rRNA". It matches the Rfam family "Bacterial small subunit ribosomal RNA", at positions 29 to 506 of the family's 1533-position model. The record is from RNAcentral.
AUGAGCGCUGGCGGCGUGCUUAAUACAUGCAAGUCGAACGGACUGUUCUUCUUCGGAUGAACGGUUAGUGGCGUCCGGGUGAGUAACACGUAGGUGACCUGCCCCGAAGUGGGGAAUAACUACCCGAAAGGGUUGCUAAUUCCGCAUGUGCUCGGACAUUCAUUUGUCUGAGUAAAGCCGUAAGGCGCUUUGGGAGGGGCCUGCGGCCGAUUAGCUAGUUGGUAGGGUAAUGGCCUACCAAGGCGAAGAUCGGUAGCUGGGCGGAGAGGAUGAUCAGCCACACUGGCACUGAAACACGGGCCAGACUCCUACGGGAGGCAGCAGUAAGGAAGAUUGCACAAUGGGCGAAAGCCUGAUGCAGCAACGCCGCGUGGGGGAUGAAGGCCUUCGGGUCGUAAAACCCUUUUCUGGGGGAAGAGGAAGGACGGUACCCCAGGAAUAAGCACCGGCUAACUACGU